Molecule: transfer RNA, 86 nt
Filed under: Cytophagia bacterium
Lineage: Bacteria; Pseudomonadati; Bacteroidota; Cytophagia
Also listed under: 1 other name
Description: tRNA-Leu
Rfam family: tRNA
About the family: Transfer RNA (tRNA) molecules are approximately 80 nucleotides in length. Their secondary structure includes four short double-helical elements and three loops (D, anti-codon, and T loops).
Source: RNAcentral
GCUGAAAUGGCGGAAUAGGUAGACGCGCAGGACUUAAAAUCCUGUGAGACUUAAAUCUCGUGUGGGUUCGAUUCCCACUUUUAGUA